This 379-nucleotide ribosomal RNA is filed under the name Vibrio sp. 03_296. RNAcentral describes it as "bacterial LSU rRNA". It matches the Rfam family "Bacterial large subunit ribosomal RNA", at positions 1991 to 2372 of the family's 2925-position model. Lineage: Bacteria; Pseudomonadati; Pseudomonadota; Gammaproteobacteria; Vibrionales; Vibrionaceae. The record is from RNAcentral.
CACGAAUGGCGUAAUGAUGGCCACGCUGUCUCCACCCGAGACUCAGUGAAAUUGAAAUCGCUGUGAAGAUGCAGUGUACCCGCGGCUAGACGGAAAGACCCCGUGAACCUUUACUACAGCUUGGCACUGAACAUUGAACCUACAUGUGUAGGAUAGGUGGGAGGCUUUGAAGACGUGACGCCAGUUGCGUUGGAGCCGUCCUUGAAAUACCACCCUUGUAUGUUUGAUGUUCUAACGUUGGCCCUAUCGGGUUGCGGACAGUGCCUGGUGGGUAGUUUGACUGGGGCGGUCUCCUCCCAAAGAGUAACGGAGGAGCACGAAGGUGGGCUAAUCACGGUUGGACAUCGUGAGGUUAGUGCAAUGGCAUAAGCCCGCUUAA